Corvus hawaiiensis (hawaiian crow) is the source of this 9477-nucleotide long non-coding RNA. RefSeq lists it as uncharacterized. The record is from RefSeq and is a predicted model, not a curated record. NCBI's taxonomy places the organism in Eukaryota, Metazoa, Chordata, Aves, Passeriformes, Corvidae. The transcript is spliced from 3 exons.
GAGGGAAAGAAAGAAAGAAAGAGAGAGAGAUUACUACACCCAGCCUUUUAUAAAGCCGUUUCUUUCAUUAUAACAGGUCUUUUCAUCCCAGUGACACAGAACCUUUAAAUUUGGGCAUAAUACUCCAGUACAGUACACAGCUAUAGCUUCAAAUGGAUUUAGAACCUGCUCCAGAAAGAAAACAAACUCCCUCGUUUGACACACAAAUUGUUUACGAUUCAUUAAAAAGCAAAAUUGCAUAUCCCAGUGCUGGCAGCUGAGUCCAUAUGGGUGCAAGGGGUAUUCACUCAUCUCUUUGUAUGCUGGCAGUACCAAACCGAAGUUUAGCACUGUGCAGCUGAGAUUUUGUGCAGCCAGACGAUGCAUGAGUUGCAAUUGCUGAGAACCUUUUCAGCUCAUUGCAACAGUGUGAUUUAGAUCUGUUCCUAAUUUCGGAGGCGUUUUCCUUGGGAAGCCUCAACUUCGAUGAGUUACGAGGAGGAUUUCCUUAUCUCGAACAGUGACAAUUGGUUCAAGUGCCACGUGAGAGCAGGCAGUUGAUUUUUGGGCAGCCACUGAAUUCAUGCAAAGUUGCUGACAACGAGUAUGUUCUAGCUUUUGGAAAUCCUAUAAUCCUGGCUUCAAUCAAGAGGAUCUGCUGUUGCUGAAGGCGUAAACAAGGAGGGAAGCAGCAUGUGACCGCUGCUACUGCACCUUCAAGGACUCCCGGAGCCAAAAUGAGUGCAAUGGUCUAAAACUAUUGCCGUGGAUGGAUGAUGUCACACAUAAAAUGCAACUGUUGAGUCACCUGAAACCUAAUUUUGAGAUGAGCUCCUUCGGGUUUUAUUUUUUCUCUGUAUCUUCAGAGAUGCAACUGGACACUGAUUAUCUCUGUUCCAGGAUGUUAUUUGAGCUAUGGCUAAGCUGAUAUUAACACAAAUAUAACCUCAUUCCAAAUUUUCUGUGUAUACAGAAACAUCUGCUAUAGCUGCACAUGUUGCUCAUCUUUAGGAUGCCCUGUUUUGCCCUAAGUAAAAUACAUUUCAGGCUUUCUGGUGCUGUGAGAAACGACUCUUCUGGAUUUCUCCAUGCAAGCUUGCUUCCAUGUAGGUCAGGAAGAGAGGGUUGCAGAAAGACCCAAAGAACACAAAUGGAAACUGAGGGAAUGGCUCCAGCCAGCUUUAAUAUUUGAGAUCCACAGGGAGUGGGAAGAGAGAGAGGCCAGCAGGUGAGAAUUCAGAAGCUCUGCACAUUUCUAUUGUUAAGUUUGUCAGACACAGGAUGCUGAGUGCGGGUGCUUACUGAGCCCACAACUAUUUGUGCAGGCACAGGUAAGUCUCACUUUCCAGUUUGUAGGUAAUGCCACAGGACUACUUUUGGAUUCAAAGAUUGCAGCCUAACACGCUGUAGGAAACUAAUCUCUGAACUUAUCCUUUUGAUUUUUACUUAUUCUUCAAUUUUGGGUAAGGAUUUACUACAAGUGGCUCACAGUGGGGAAAAAAGAUUUUAUUGUUAACCAGGAGGGACAGACCAGUCCUCAAAGUCUCUCUGGAAAUGGCUUUCUUGCACAAGACCUUCUGAGUUCAGCAGUGCUGGUGGACUUUCAGGCAGCAGUGCUAAAUCAGUGCCUUUUAUCAUCUACAGCUACAUAAAAGACUGAGACUCCUCCUUCCUAAUGAGAGACUUCUGUAACACUCUCUGCUUAGGGCUAUUCUUAAGGAAUAGUGAAUCCAAGACAGAUGUGGCAGUGACCAUCAUAUUACUCUCAAAGACCAAAUCCCUCAAAGCAAAGGAAAUAUGAACAAUUAAAACAAUAAAUACACUGAAUCAUAGGAAUUUCCAGUGCCCUCAGUUCUAACUCCAGUUCCACACAUUAAUUUGUAAUUCUUGAGCCAUGAAUAAGUAAAUCCUCUUUUGUUUAGAGAACAAGAUUAAAAUGCUACUAAUAUUAAAACCACUCCUGUUUGCUGGCUCAUACAUCUAUUUAAAUACCUGCCUAUUUCUUUCCUUCAUCUCUUGAGUGUCACACUUGUCCUCCUGCUAAUACCAGCUGACUGGCAGCCAGCAGGCUGAGCACCGCAGGUAAAUACCUAGAGAAGUGCUUUGGCAGGGCUGAGCUCUGUGUAAGCAAAUUUUACAAGCAAGUCAGGCAUAAUCUGUUGAAGUGACUCUGGAUUACUGAAUAUUUAAGAGCAAGAUAACACUUUUGUGACCAUAAAGACAUAUUUACACUCCUGUGUAAUCUGUGGGACUGGACAUCACAGAAGAGAAAACUCUGGAUGUAGUUUAUUCAAAACACAUCACUCUAAACACCACCCUCCCCCCUUUUUGCCCCCCCCCAGUUCACUGGUCAUAGAGACAAAGGAACUGUGGAAAUGAAGUCUGUAGCACCUGUCUCUUCUAGUGUGGCUCUUUAUAUUUUUCAAAGCAGGUUUUAAAAAUCCACAGAAAUCUUAGCUGAUAACAAAAAUUAACACACCAAGAAGGGCAGAAAAAUUUCAACUAAUCAAGUUGAAAAUAUGCCAUGAGUUUAGAAUUUAUGAAAAUUGAUUACUUCAAAUAUUUGAAAAUGAAGUCUAAUUCAACACAUGGUGUACUGCCAGCAAAGAGGAUGUUAUGUAGGAAUUCUUUGAUAUUUUUUCUUGUAUCCACUGGACAUUCCCAUUAAAACAAGGCAAUAUAACAAACGUAAUUCUUUGUUGCCUUAAUUCUGAAGACCUGACCUUUUUCUCAUACUAAAGGGCUUUCUUUUGCAAAGCGUGACUCUGGCUGACAGAUAUGAAAGAACUGGUUGACGUUCUAGGACACAGAAAUAGAAGGAUGCAGGGAUUGCAGAGCGUCCCCUGGUACACCUCCAUCUUUUCCUAGCGCAGGGAUCCACCAAUAAGAAGAUAACACUUCUGUCUAUCAAGGCUUCUUUAGAGGGGAUUCAGGGCAAGGAGCAAUCCUGGGAGUGGGUAAAACAGGAGUUGGCUUUUUCCUUGCACCUCACCUGUCCCUUACAGGAUUUCUUGCUUCUCUGUGCUGGCAGGAGUUUGCAUGAACCCAGAAAUUAGUCUGGGGGCCGAGCUUUUAUCUUCAGAGAUGUCGCUUGAGGAAUAGCUGUGAACUUGUCUCUGUGCUUGGGAUCAAAUGUGCUCAGUGCUAAAAAGCUCAGGAAUGAUUUCAAAACGUACUUUGAAGCCUUCCUGGUGGGAACAGCUGGAAUGUGUGUCUGUGUCACCAGCUCUAAUACUAGGAGCACAAACACAAGCUGAGUCACAGUGGACGACGAUGCUGCUGACAAAAUGUUUUAAACUCCAAACUAAAACAACAAUGGGAUUAUUUAUGGACUGCAACUCUUAUUUUAAUGUCAAUAAAUGUACUGGAUAAAUUCCCCUUCAUUAGCUGGAAACCUCAGAAGGAAACAGAAAUAUUCUGGUAAACCACAAGCUUGUUCUUAGCAAAUAGAUGGCUACAUUUCCACUGCCGAGGCAUAGCCAGACUGUUUCUGCACUGGGAUAAUAAAUCUCUGGGAGUGAAAAACAAAGUCUAUAAAAGCAAGACCUACAAAGUAAGGGUGUGAGACACAUGGCCCUCAAGCCUCCAGAGGAUGGCAUUAGAAAGUAUCAAGAGUAGUUUUUUUUCCUUUUUAUGAAUGGAAAAGAUGUUUUCCAAGCUCUACCGUUCAACUCAAAACAAAUGGUUGGAACGAGUCCCUGUCACUAUGGGAGGUGUUUGCUCUCUUAUCUUCUGGGCUGCAGACAGCCCAGACAGGGUGAGUUGCUUUGACUGCUGUGUGCUCCAAAAUAGCAAAAAAAAAAAAAAAAAAAAAAAAAAAAAAAAAAAAAAAAAAAAAAAAAGGAAAAGCACAGAAAUAAUGUGUUACACCUCCCUGAUUCCUGAGAUGUCUGGGGUGCAGAAGGAGCUGUUCUUUGUAAUAUCUGGCUCCAUAGAUAUGCAUCAGGCCGUGGGAUGCACCAAAUACAGGAUGCUCUAGUGCUUCCCACCCAGUCUCCUGACACCUGCUGGUCCUGGAGAGAAACAGAGGACCCAGAAUUGCCACUGCAGCUCUCCCAUCGAGGGAGAAACUCCAUCAGAUCAGCCAAGGUCAGCUUCCUGCUCCUUAAGAAUGCUUUUCAAAGGCAGACAGAACAAGGCACAGCAUCUUACCAAGUAAUACUGAUGUCUCCUCAUGUUUCUAGAGGGAAUAGUUUCAUGUCAGGACGGAAAAUCCAAACAUCACAGUCACAGAUUGCUUUUUCGUUCUGCUCCUUGGCACUUAUCUGACUUUAUUUUUCCUUUCUAAAUCUGUGGGUUUAUAUCUUAUCCUGCACCUAAUGGCUUGUAAGCUAUUUCCAAGAUGGAAAAUGUGGUAUUCUCUUAUCUGUGCAGCAUUUUGUUUAUUUAUAGCAUGACACUAAUGACACUUUGGAUUUGCUUCUGAGUUUUUUUCUUAUUGUAAAGACAAGGCACACAAAAAAUUGUGUCUGGGUCUAAGUACAUUCUUAACCCCAUUCAAUUUAUUUCAGGUGCUGAGUCCUCAGGGAAGGGGACCAAUGACUAAUAAAUCAGGUGUUUCUUCCUUCACCUACUGGGAUCAAUAGGAAGCAGAAGAAAAAAGUUCUUGUUUGCAUGAGGCAAUGCAGACAAACAGCUCCAUGUAGUGGGUAAGAGCAUAUUUCACAGGCCCUAAACUUUGCACACAGGCUCAGCUUAUCAAGAAUAACAAGACUAAAAAACUGUUUGCUAAGAAGGGAAUACAGGGGUACAAAUAUGGUUUGCAUGUUCUUGGAAGGUACAUACUCCCCUUUUUAUUCAGCAUUUUAUGUAAACCUCAUACUGAGUUGGGCUUCCAAACCCACAGUACUUGAAUAUGUUCCAAAUGAAGCAGAAACACAGAGGGGCAAGAGAACUCAGCACCUUUAUGCAUACCCCCAACCCCCUCCAGUACCAUCCAGGAAUGGAUGGUACUUUGCCUAAAAUAUCUCAUUUUUUCUUUAAAAUAAACGCAGAAUCAGGUUCCUCCUUGUAAUUGCUGCACCACAGAAUAUGGUGAUCACCUUCCUAAAGGGAAACAACAUUCAACACAGCUUAUUUGUGUUGGGAAACCAGGGCUCUGGUGCAUCAUCCAAACCAUUAUUCCACAGUGGAUUAACCCAGACAAUACUUAUCAAAAAUGUCACACCACAAAUAUGAGCCAGGAGUACAUUACUGGGAAAGCUGCCUGGACCAAUGUAAAAUCAGAGAAAAUGGGCAAGUAUUAUGUAUGAACAAUGCAAAACCCUUGCACAGACUGUGAACAUACAUCAUUAUAACCGCUUUUAUAUUCAUUUAAACCAAGUAAAAAAAUUAAGGAAACUAGACCCUGUCCCCUUCAGUGUCUCAUCAGAUUGCAUUAUUCUGACAGCUCCACAGGAACCCAGUGGCUCUGCACUCAUAUUCUCCACUCAUACCUCUGCCAGUAUCUCCCUGACAGCAGUUGCAUGUUUCCAUCCUCCCUGGGGAUGGGACACAUUGCAAGUCCCAUCCUCUCACCUCUGUCGCCUUGUCCUACUCUUUCUGCACUUCAUUAUUUCUCAGACCUGCAGUCAUCAGUUUCCCCAGUCUAGAUCACCUUGCUCAGCAGUCUUAGCUGCACUCAGCAGCAACACAAGCUUAUCCCAUAGGUAUUCCCAUCUCUCCACAUAGCCAAGCUUCUGCUCAGACCUCUCUUGCUCCACAGCUCUGGCCUCUUUUCAUUCUCAAUGUAUUUCUGGUUUCUCUUUCCUCUCACUUUCAUUCUGUAACUCCUUUGCUCUGUCCCACUGGAGUUCUCUGGUCAUUCCCACACCCACUUCUGUGGCAACCUACAAGUCAGAAAAUGCUUGAUUCAUCCCACUUAGCUGGGACAAUAUAAUACAAAGACAUAUAGAGACAAAUAGAGAAAGCCAGAUGAGUUCACUAACCCCUGUGCUUUUUGCCUUCUAACACACCACAUUAUUUGGAGCAGGGAUCUUAUUAACUCUAUUUCUACUGCACCUAACACACAUAGGGGCCAUGAAUGGGGAUUUGGUUUCUGGACCAUUUCAUUCUAGAAAAUAAAUUUUAUGCUAAAUAAAUCCCUACAGAAAAGAUACUGAUAAAAUAUGUCUUCUUCUAGGAUUUAAUAACAAAUGUACUAUUUGGUGCAUAAUAGGCAAUUCAUUUUGCUAUGCAUUUACUCUAUUUAGAACAUAAAGCACUUAAGGAUAUUUGGAGUAUGCAAGACUAUUAGAAAAUCAAUUUCUAUUCUGGUUUAUAGCCCAACCACUUAAAGUCUUAAUUUGCUACAAUUCACUUUCUUAUAUUCUGACUUGGUAAAGUGGAUCAGCUACCUCCUGAACUCUGGUCAUAUGCUUGUUAGAGCUAAACUAUUUAAUUAUUGUCUACCAUAUCCACUCUCUCCACUUGCUUAUUGCCUACAUUUAUGCAUUUGCAGCAUCAGUUCAGGUUGUUUGCACUUGCUGGAGAACCUGCUGCCUCUUUUUGCAAGGUUUGGAGGACGGAGGCUUUGGUUUCACUGAGGGCUAUCCCAUUCCACUUGACAAAUAAACAAACAGCAGAGUAACUGGCAGGAAGUCAUGUCCCUUUGGUGAGCAGGGCUCCAGCUCAGCAGAGGGCAAACCAGGCAGCAUCAUUUUCACUCCAGCACAAAGUGUCCAUUCUUGACUCCUUGACCAAAGGAAGCAAAAGCAGAGGCACGGCAAGCACAGCACAUCUGCAGGGCUGGAUUUCACAGGAAGUUAUGCAGCUCCUCCACAGAUAAGUUUCACUGAAGAACAAAGACUGAUUUUGUUCAAUGCUCCGAGAAUGCUGCAUUGAACCUGGAGCUUUUCUUUCCUUGAAAAUGCGGUUCAGAGAGCAAAAUCUAAUUUCUCCCUCACCCUUGUUUAAAUUAGCUGCACAAUUUUCAUAUCAGCCCUAUACUUACCAUAGGAAAAAAGCUUAAAAGACACCCACUCUUCUCCAACUAAGUUUACAUGUUUUAUGUAUUGAUUUUAGCAGACUACACACAAGUUGGUGCAUCCAAGAUAAAUGUCACAGCAACAAUGACUAAACCAGUUAAGUGAAACUUAGUCUCUGAUAUAGAGCUACCUUAAAGCUUAAGAAACAAAAUAUUUAUGACCAAGAACAAGACAAAUGGUGCAAUAACACAUUAGCAGGCAGUAUUGUCACUGAUUGCAAACAUAUUUUGGGCUUACAUAUUUCAUAUACACCCUGACCUGCAAGGCAUUCUACCCACUACAAUUGGUUUUGCAGCAGCUCAACAUUUACCAGGAGAUAAUGAGGUGUUUUUUUGCACGAUACAGGCAGCAUUAGAUGUAGUGGGAGCCAAAAACAUGAUCAUAUUAAAAGCAAAUAGCAGAGCAGAUUACCUCUUGCCCUCUCUUUUAGCUUGAGCAGCAUAUUCCAAUAAGUGCAGAAGAGACACUGUCAAGCACUUCUUUAUAGUUUCAUUUUGUUGGGUUUUUUUUUAUUUCCAUUGCUUGCAAUGCCCUUGCCCUCUUUAAAAGCUGCAGAAUAAAAUUCCUUUCUCAGUCAAUUUUGUACUUUCUCCCUCAGCAAAGAAUGACAAGGGAUAAAAAAAAAAAAAAAGCUCAAAACUCCAAAAGAAGAAUUAGGGAUAAAGGUUAAAGAUAAGUUUUCAUCAAAAUUUAAAGGAACCACUAAGUUCAAAAGAAGGUCAUCUGCCCUGCUCCUAAUUAUUGCUCAUUUCCACUGCACCCAGCUCUGGGAAAAUAGUGGAGCAUUUUAUAGCAAACCAUAGUUAACAGUGAGCACAGCCUUGGAGACUCUGCUCUUUAAGGAGGGCAGUGGGAUCUUUUCUCAAAAUAUUUCUUGGGCAUUUUUGGAUCAGAAGUUUUGAAAUGUGACGAAAAGAAGGUUAACAGUGGUCUGGGGGAGGCCCCUGGAUCUGAGCAGUAUCACUAUGGCAGCUCAGUGAUGCAUAUCCUAAGAAUUCCCCUUGGUGGCUGCCUGAUCCAGAGUCGGGCCAGGACUGGAAGUAAAGGUUGUUUGUACUGGCUCAGGGACUGGGAGCCCCGUGGGGCAGAUGGGAUCACCUGGGAAGGUGGGAUGAAGGCUGCGUGUUUACUCUGGCUGGGCACUCCAGCACUGGAAGCCAUCCCCAUGAAGGAGAAAAUAUCCAGAGCCCCUGAAUUUAUAGGUUGGCAGCCUCCAAUUUAUUUUUUCCUAACUGCAGUUGAAAAACUGUCUCUUGGUGGUUAUUGAUAGAAAUUUUACUUCAGUUUCAGGACUGAUAAGAUUAUUAUUUUCUCUGUUAACUUAAAAUCAUAUUUCUGCAGACUGUUAUUUAAACACUUGACCCUUGGUGCUGUCUAUCACAUAUAGGAGCACUCCUUACAAUUUAGCAUAGAGUUUGAACAUGGCAUUCACAAUGGUGCACAUUUCUGUAUAAAACAUAUACUUUACAUGUGCUGUGGGACUAAAUUUGAUUUAAUCGCUUUCUCUCGUCAUGUAUUGCAAGAGUGUAAAACAGCAGCACAAGGAAGAAAGAUCUCACCUCCCCAGCUCCCUGGCAGCACCAGUGAUUCAAGAGUUAAUUGGAUGACAUCACAUCAGUGGUUACUCUCCAAUAAUAGUUUGCUCCCUUGUGUGACAGUGGGCAUUUGGGUCAGCAGAUGCCAUAGUGGCAGUGACACAAAGCUUUGCCUGCAUCUUAUCUGUCCUUCCUGUAAACUUCACCAAGCUUCCUUCUUUUAUCCUUUUCUCUAUGGAUCCACGGGGAUGCAGCUCAGCUCUCCAAUACACUGAGAAGGCUGAUUUCUCCAUCCCAAACUCUGAUAUAUUCAAAAUGAAUCCAGAAAGAGUCAGAGACUGAUUCACAGCAUAGAUACAUUACAACAGACAAACCCCAGCCUGCAGCUGGAGUUACUCUUUUGCCAGAGGAACAGACAACUGCUAUUCAAGGAAAAGUAGCAUAUCACCUUGAGAAAACUGUUACAUAAAACCCCAUCUUUCUACCUCUGGAUAGAAAACAGCAACUGGCUGUCAGCUGCCUCCAGAUGGAAAUUAGAUGGAGGAUCUGCUCCAAGAUGGUGCUUUCUGAUCCCACCUCUGAUCAGUGUGGUGGCCUAAGCAAAGCCACUGUCUCCUGCUUCCUCCUGCCCCCCUCCAAAUUCCCCAGGCAGUCAAACUGCUGCGGAUGUGCAAAUAGUUCAGGAGCAGCAGCCUGGCCAGCAGGUGAAAGAAAUUACUCCCACUACCUAUAGAAAAUACAAUCAUGAGAAGACAUGUGGUUUGGGACAGGGAGCUGCUAUGAAAUGCACAGGGGGCAACUGGAUAUUUUCCUCUGCCCAAGUAUCCCCCAAACAGUCCAAAACUUUGCUGUUUGAGAAGAUAUGCAAAGCAGAAUGUAAUUCAUUGUGUCCAGCAAUAAACAAAAUAUUAAGUGCAUUUUUAAUGCUGUAAAACCUUUUAAAAGACUUUUAAACCUUUUACUGUGGGACAUAAUUAAAAUUGUUUUGCUAUCUGCAA